UGCGGACUCGUAUCACUGCUAACUCUGCUGUCGCUUAGCUGCUUCUUUUCCGAACUCUCCACACGCCUCACAGUACGCCCAUCCAUCUCACUGCGAUUCGGUACUUCGGUUCUCGCUGCCAGCCGCGCACGUCACCUGCUCUCUGUCUUUUGCCAUAGUGGCGCUCGCUUCUCCUGCAGCAUCUUGCACAGACGCGCGCACGCGGCAUCAUCACCGGGCGUCGCAGACUCUGGCUCAGUUUGUCAGCGGGUGCGUGAGUGACGGCAAGUAUUCGUUCUUCUUCCUCCCUGCUUUAUUGUGCUCAUUGUGAAAGAGUCGUGGCGCGCGGUGCGACUCGCUUGCGAUCUCUAGCAGCCGUGCUGGCACUUGUUCUGUUCGCCACCUUCCUUCUCGGCACGAUUCGCGCAGACUUUUGGCGAUUCACCGGCGCAAAAAGAAGCCGUCAUACAGGCGUCGCACGCUAUCUCAUCUCGCGCGUCCCGUACACGCUACUGCUUGUGCGCCUGCCAAAGACCACGAGCCGCAUUAAGCCAUAUGCAGUCCAUUCCGUAGCGCCGACUGAGAAAUGCAUGCACUUUACGGGGCGGAGCCCGCAUAUGAGAAGCAGCCGGAGGACCGUGCCGGCUGGCUACUCGGGGCGUUUUUUCAUACGUGGCUUGGCGACCUCAUGCAGCGCGCGGCGCGAGAGGAGCUGACCAUGGAUGGGCUGCCGCGCCCGAUGCGCGAGUACCGCGCCUACAACGCUGGCGUCGCGCUGUCGGCGGAGCUGCAGCGCCAGCGAGCGCGCCGCCAUGCGUGGGACGGCUACGUCGGCGCGCGCGUCGGCGUGCGCUGGGACGACGCCAGCGACGGCGUGCUGCGCUGGGUGGGCGCGGUGCAGCAGUACGGCACGCCGGGGCGGCUGUACGCGGGCGUGGAGUGGCGCGUGGCCCCGUCGCGGCGCCGUGGCUGCUGCGUUCGGCGCUGCAUGGGGUGGCUGCUGUGCCGCGGAUGCAGCGCCCCUGUCCCGGAGCAGGGUCCCGGCGCGUAUCACCGCGGCGAGGUGGAUGGCGAGCACCUGUUCGACCCCGUGGAAGACGACACGGUGCUGACGUGCGAGCGAGUCGAGGACGUAAUUUUUUGGCGAGAUGAACCGGGAGGAGAAACUCAUGAAGCAAGGACUACUGAGGAAGACUUCGUUGACGACGCGGGUAUCAGCAGUCAGAGGCAAUCAGAGGAGAGUUGCGCAGAGGUUGCCGCUCCACCGACGUGCAUGUCUGUGACAGUGGCCCUUUUCAGCGUUCUCCGUUGGCAGCUGCUUCUUUUGGGGCCCUUGCGCCUAACAGUAGAUGUCACUGCGCUGCUGACUCCCAUGGCGCUCAGCUGGUACAUCCGCCUUCUACAGGGAAGCACAGACACAACAUCUUCUGAGAGUGCAAGCAGCGGCACCAGCAGCGCGGCUGCUUCGUCUUGGCAGUCAUCCAGCGUCGUGGAUAGCGGGAGCAUGAGGGAUGCUUCGUGGCAGCCCGUGGCAAGCGUCGUUCUCCUCUUUGCCAUCUCGCUCGUACGCAGUCUCGCCCUCCAGAAGUACGCGCAACUUGCCUACCGCAGCGCGUACGCCGUGCGGUCGGGCUUGUCAUCCUGCAUCACUGCCAAGUGUCUGCGGAUUGCGUCGCGAGAGCUGCGGCGACCUGAGCUUAACCCCGGGCGCAUUUUGAAUCUCAUCACGACGGAUGUUGCGAGCAUGGAGGGCACAAUGUAUGUCCUCUGGAUGGCAGUGACGGUGCCCCUUCAAGUUUGUGCUACCGUGUGCAUGCUCUACCGAAGCAUUGGCUGGGCAGCGGGCAUCAGCAUCCUCAUGCUGCUACUCUUCUUGCCAAUACAGAUCCUUCUGACGAAGAUGACCUACACCUGUACAGUAGGUCUGGCGAAGUCCUCUGAUGCGCGACUCCGCACCACGAACGAGUUCCUCUCCGGCAUCCGCACCAUCAAGUUCAUGAGUCUCGAGGACACCUUUGAGGAGGAGAUCAACGCGCGCAGAGCGGCCGAGCUCCGUGCUGUGCGUCGAUUCCAGCUCAUUUCCACCGCCAACUCGCUCAUCUCCCAGUGUGUGCCAAGCUGCACGACAGCAGCGGUAAUGGUUGCCUACUACUGCAAGGGUUAUCCCAUGUCUCCCGAAAUUAUCUACCCCGCUCUCUCCCUGCUCAGCCUCAUGGACACCCCGUUUGAGCUCGUCAGGACCCUUGUCGGGGAGUUCUCGCAGUUCUUUGUGUCCAUGAAGCGUCUCACCUCCUUCCUUGCCGCUGACGACGCGCAGGCACGCGACAUCCUUGAGGCGGCGCUGGCGUCGAAGGAGGGCGACGACGCGGCCGCCGUGCUGCGCAACGCGACGGUGAGCUCCUACAAGGCUGUGCCGCUGCCCCCGGCCAGCAGCCGCGAGGGCGGCGGUGGGGACACGCACUACGAGCUGCGCGCCAAGACGCUGCUGGCGGAUGUGGACCUGCGCGUGCCGCGCGGGCGGCUGACGGUGGUGCUGGGGCCGACGGGCAGCGGCAAGUCCACGCUGCUGGACGCACUGAUCGGCGCGCUGGCGGUGACGCGCGGCCGCGUGGCGUGCUCGCGCAGCGUGGCCUACGUGCCGCAGCAGCCGUGGAUCAUGAACGCAACGCUGCGCGACAACGUCAUCUUCUUCGGCGCGCCGGACGCGGCGGCCUUCGAGCGCGCGGUGCGCAGCAGCCAGCUGGCCUCGGACCUGGCGCUGCUGGCGGACGGCGCGGAGACGACGAUCGGCGAGAACGGCAUCAACCUGAGCGGCGGGCAGAAGGCGCGCGUGAGUCUAGCGCGCGCCGUGUACGCGGACCGCGACGUGUACUUGCUGGACGACCCGCUGUCGGCACUGGACGCGCAGGUGGGCGAGCGCGUGAUGCGCGAGUGCGUGUGCGGCGCGCUGGCCGGCAAGACGCGCGUGCUGGCCACUCACCAGGUCAGCGCCGCCGCCUACGCGGACCUGGUUGUGCUGCUGGAGGAGGGCCGCGUCGCCUUUCAGGGCAACUACGCCGCUUACUGCGAGUACGCCCGGCUGCACUACGAGCGCAGCCUGAGCGGCAUGGGCAAGGCGUCUGCCUACGCCGCGCAAACGGUCAGCGAGCUGGCAUCCGCCGUUGAUCUGUCGAAGCUGGAGGACAUCCUUGAUGACAACGUUGAGGUGCAGCGGCCGUUGACGGAAUCGACGCUGGAGUCGAGUGGUGGUGUGCUGUUCGCAGCGGAGCAACUGGCGCACAGAGUGCUGGGUGACACGGUGACAAAGGAUUCGGCCGACGUGACUGUGGUGGAGAGUGGCGAGGAGAAGGCGGUCGGCGCCGUUCCGUGGGAGGUUUAUCGCCGCUACAUCGAGGCCUGCGGCGGCUGGCUGACCCUCUGCAGCAUUAUGAUCUUUUUCCUCCUUACGGAGGGAGUGUCUCGCUCUGGGGACGUGUGGCUCUCUCUCUGGUCUGGAGGAAAGCUGGAAAGGCUCUCCACUCACCUGCGUCUUAGCCUUUACGUGACAGCGGUCCUUGCAGCCAUCCUCGUCCCCCCCUCUCGUGACUUGUGGUGCUUCACAAUAAUGCGGCGUGCGUCUUACCAUAUUCACGCAGGGCUGCUACGCUCCUUAGCCCGCGCGAGACUCUCCUUCUUCAAUGUCACACCACGCGGCCGCCUCAUCAACCGCAUGUCACGCGACAUGGGACUCAUAGAUUGGGACUUGAGCGUCAGUGUCGACAUCCUUCUCUUUUUCUUUUUCUACCUUGUGGCGUACUUUGCAAUCAUGACGACAUCGCAGCCCUUCGUCCUUGUCGUGCUGGUGCCGUGCAUUUUGGUGUACGGCCACAUCUUUCGCUUCUUCUGCGCUGCCAACCGCGAGAUGCAGCGCCUGCUCAACAUCUCCAACUCGCCCGUCUUCUCGAUCCUGAACGAGGUACUCACAGGACGCUGGACCAUCUGCACCUACGGCCGCGAGCAGGACAUGAUGCGCGAGGUACUGCGGCGGCUGGACAGCGUCUUUGCAUGCUCCUACAUGCAGUGCAUGGGCAGCCGGUGGCUUUCGGUGCGCGUGGAGCUACUGGGCAACGUGGCUGUGUCGGGGCUAGCGCUGCUCGGCGUGCUGGCGACGAAGCUGCCGUGGAUGCACAUGAACCUGGGCCUGCUCGCGCUCAGCAUAACCAAGGCGUCCUCCAUCACUAUGGUGCUGUCGAGCUUCAUCAGCAUUGGGGCAUCGGUGGAGGCGUCGAUGAACUGCGUGGAGCGCGUACUGUACUACACGGACAACGCGCCGGCGGAGGACAUAGGUGGCGGCGAGAGCGCAAUGGAGGCGUGCGGCAGCACCGCGCUCUCCGUGGUCGCCGGCGACGAUGCCUCCGCUGCUACAGCGCCGGCGGGGUCGCUUGUGCUGGAGCACGUGGACAUGCGGUACCGGCCGGGGCUGCCGCUGGUGCUGCGCGACGUGUGCUUCGCGGUGGCGCCGGGGCAGAAGGUGGGCGUUGUGGGGCGCACCGGUAGCGGGAAGUCGACGCUGCUGCUGGCCUUCCUGCGGCUGGUGGAGGUGUGCGGCGGCCACAUGCUCGUGUGCGGGCGCGACGCGCGCGACUACGGCGUGCGCGAGCUGCGCCGGCUCUUCUCGACGAUCCCGCAGGACCCGCUGCUGUUCGAGGGCACGGUGCGCAGCAACGUGGACCCCUUUGGCUGCUGCGGCGACGCGGCGGUGUGGCGCGCGCUGCGGCAGGUGGGGAUGGAGGAGCGCGUGCGCGGCGAGGCGGGCGGGCUGGACGGGCGCGUGCAGGAGGGCGGCGCAAACUACAGCGUGGGCCAGCGCCAGCUGCUGUGCCUGGCGCGCGCGCUGCUCAAGCGCGGCAGCGCCUUCCUGCUCAUGGACGAGGCAACCGCAAACGUCGACCCCGCGCUCGACCGCCAGAUCCAGCGCACGGUGCAGCACACCUUUCGCGACUACACCGUCGUCACCAUCGCGCACCGCCUGCACACCGUCGCCGCCUGCGACGUCAUCCUCGUCAUGGACCAGGGCCGCGUUCUCGAGUUCGGCUCGCCGCGCGAGCUGGUGGAGCGCCAGGGAUCCGCUUUCGGCGCGCUGGUGAGGUCACUGAGCAGAGGUGCGCAGCAAGCAUUUCGUGUAGCGGUGGAGAGUGUGCCUGAUAAAUUUCCAGUGUAGCGCUGAUUGACGAUGGACAUGUGGUGUGCGGACGAAGGUUGGUGUGAUAGUGCUGUGACCACCUGCUGUGCAAAUGACAUGCUGGUGGUGACGGCGGCUUGCAGGAAAAGUUUUUAUGGAUUCGAUUGCACAUCUCUUUACCACCAUCUGGGGAGGGCUGCUCUUUUUCGUUUUUUUUUGUGUAGCUCCGCUUGCUUUACUCUCGUUCAGCAGGGACCGUAUGUGGUGGCAGCGGUGCUUACACUGGUACCUCGAUGCAAGUGACAUCACGGUGGAUUUCGGUUGUGAUGUGAGGCCGCGUUCGGUGGCACGGCGCAG
Molecule: unclassified non-coding RNA, 5497 nt
Filed under: Leishmania donovani
Lineage: Eukaryota; Euglenozoa; Kinetoplastea; Trypanosomatida; Trypanosomatidae
Description: gene:LdHU3.31.2140(CDS-product:pentamidine_resist ance_protein_1)
Source: RNAcentral